RNAcentral lists this transfer RNA (73 nucleotides) under Ixodes scapularis (black-legged tick). Its description in RNAcentral is "tRNA-Ser". The record is from RNAcentral. Lineage: Eukaryota; Metazoa; Arthropoda; Arachnida; Ixodida; Ixodidae.
UCCCGGUUCCAUCAGUUGGUAGAGCGCUCCACUGGAAAUGGAGAGGUGCCUGGUUCGAUAGCAGGACCAGGCG